RNAcentral lists this small RNA (907 nucleotides) under Arabidopsis thaliana (thale cress). RNAcentral's name for it is "ATSL220240". The record is from RNAcentral. Lineage: Eukaryota; Viridiplantae; Streptophyta; Magnoliopsida; Brassicales; Brassicaceae.
AUUUUCUUUCUAAUUAUCAAAAACAAACAUUAAAAUCCAGUGGCAGCUAUUGUAAAUAAGUUUCAACUACAAGAUUUAUUUCACAAAAUGGUUGCAAAAACGUAUAUGUAGAUUUUAAAAAAUAGUUAGGAUAACUGAUAACUCCCUUAAAUGUUUAUUUCUCAAAUAACCUUGCUAAUAAGUGUUUUACAAAAAGAAAAACUAAUGACAAUGUCUUUGGUUCAAAUCCAUAAUGGCCCAGCUGCUUUCAAGCACCCUUCACUAUUUUGGAUAGUAUUUAUGGUUCUACCUAUUUCUUAGAAUCAAGCGAGCCUAUUUCCCUUCUCGUGCUUUACGCAACACUCCAACGACCGGAUGCCUCGUCACUAAUCUCGCAAGAUCCACAUCAUCAACAUUGUGAUCAAUAAUUAAGAAACGAUCAAUUGUCUCAGUCGUGGACUAGAAUAGAAAAGAAGAAAAAAAACACUAUUAAAAAUAAACGAAAACACACUCUAUUGAAAACCCAACCCCAUAAACAAAGGCCAAUAAUAAUAUUUUCCUUAAAACAUGAUUCAUAUAUGAUAAAUGAGAUUCAUAAGUUAGUAGUAAGAAAAUGCACCUUCUCAAAGAUACCAUGUUUCUCCACAAAAUCUCUAGGAGUUCUACAAUCUUUCAAGCCAUGUUUUCCGAGAUGUAUGAUGUUGACGAAAUGCUGAUUCGAAAACGAACGUUGGUGUUCAAGUCUUAUUCCAAUAUUAAAAAAGGCUUCCAUAGCUCGUGUAAAUGCAGUCAGCCAGCAAAUCACUACAACAUAAAUCAAUUUUGUGUAAGUGGCAACCACAGAAAUUCAGAAUCCUUUUACAAAUUUCAAAAAUUGGCCUUUUUCAUUCUAAAAAACAAAAUGAGCGCUUUUCGUACUAAAAUUUUU